GGUAACCUGCCCUGGCGUGGGGGAUAACGGCCCGAGAGGGACGCUAAUCCCGCAUACGCUCCCUCGGGAGGAAAGACGUAAGUCGCGCCAGGAGGGGCCUGCGGCCCAUCAGGUAGUUGGUGGGGUAACGGCUCACCAAGCCAAUGACGGGUACCUGGUCUGAGAGGACGACCAGGCAGACUGGGACUGAGACACGGCCCAGACUCCUACGGGAGGCAGCAGCAAGGAAUUUUCCGCAAUGGGCGCAAGCCUGACGGAGCAACGCCGCGUGCCGGAAGACGGCCUUCGGGUUGUAAACGGCUUUUACCGGGGAAGAAACUGACGGUACCCGGCGAAUCAGCCCCGGCUAACUCCGUGCCAGCAGCCGCGGUAAGACGGAGGGGGCAAGCGUUGUCCGGACUCACUGGGCGUAAAGCGUGCGUAGGCGGUACGGAGCGUCGCCACUGAAAGCUCCCGGCUCAACCGGGUGAGGUGUGGCGAUACGGCCGAACUAGAGGCAGGGAGAGGUGUGCGGAAUUCCGGGUGUAGUGGUGAAAUGCGUAGAUACCCGGAGGAACGCCGGUGGCGCAAGCGGCGCGCUGGCCCUGACCUGACGCUGAGGCACGAAAGCGUGGGGAGCGAACCGGAUUAGAUACCCGGGUAGUCCACGCAGUAAACGAUGUCGGCUCGGUGUGCAGCGGUGAACUUUACCGCCGCGUGCCCAAGCAUACGCGGUAAGCCGACUGCCUGGGGACUUCGAGCGCAAGCUUAUAUCUCAAAGGAAUUGACGGGGGCCCGCACAAGCAGCGGAGCGUGUGGUUUACUUGGAUGCAACGCGAAGAACCUUACCCAGGUUUGACAUGCAGCUGCAAGCGCACAGAAAUGUGUGUCCUUGGAGGGUGCUGCACAGGUGCUGCAUGGCCGUGGUCAGCUAGUGUCGUGAGAUGUUGGGUUAAGUCCCGCAACGAGCGCAACCCUUGCCGUCAGUUACAAGUGUCCGGCGGGACUGCCCUCUAUUUGAGGGAGGAAGGCGGGGAUGACGUCAAGUCAGCAUGGCCCUUA
This 1041-nucleotide ribosomal RNA is filed under the name uncultured organism. RNAcentral's name for it is "bacterial SSU rRNA". It matches the Rfam family "Bacterial small subunit ribosomal RNA", at positions 120 to 1204 of the family's 1533-position model. The record is from RNAcentral.